Molecule: ribosomal RNA, 543 nt
Filed under: uncultured bacterium
Lineage: Bacteria
Description: bacterial SSU rRNA
Rfam family: Bacterial small subunit ribosomal RNA
Source: RNAcentral
AAUAGAUACCCGGGUAGUCCACGCCGUAAACGUUGGGCGCUAGAUGUGGGGACCAUUCCACGGUUUCCGUGUCGCAGCUAACGCAUUAAGCGCCCCGCCUGGGGAGUACGGCCGCAAGGCUAAAACUCAAAGGAAUUGACGGGGGCCCGCACAAGCGGCGGAGCAUGCGGAUUAAUUCGAUGCAACGCGAAGAACCUUACCAAGGCUUGACAUAUACGAGAACGCUCUAGAAAUAGAGAACUCUUUGGACACUCGUAUACAGGUGGUGCAUGGUUGUCGUCAGCUCGUGUCGUGAGAUGUUGGGUUAAGUCCCGCAACGAGCGCAACCCUCGUUCUAUGUUGCCAGCGGUUCGGCCGGGAACUCAUAGGAGACCGCCGGGGUCAACUCGGAGGAAGGUGGGGAUGACGUCAAAUCAUCAUGCCCCUUAUGUCUUGGGCUUCACGCAUGCUACAAUGGCCGGUACAAAGGGCUGCAAUACCGCAAGGUGGAGCGAAUCCCAAAAAGCCGGUCUCAGUUCGGAUUGAGGUCUGCAACUCGACCUC